GUCCUCAUAGGAGAUGGCGUUCCUCCUCAUAACCGCCACGCGUUCGCGUGGCUGAUGACGCCUACAGACUU
This 71-nucleotide non-coding RNA is filed under the name Diaphorobacter sp. J5-51. RNAcentral describes it as "Fluoride riboswitch aptamer (crcB RNA motif)". It matches the Rfam family "Fluoride riboswitch aptamer (crcB RNA motif)". The record is from Rfam by way of RNAcentral. RNAcentral also lists the same sequence under 2 other names. Lineage: Bacteria; Pseudomonadati; Pseudomonadota; Betaproteobacteria; Burkholderiales; Comamonadaceae.